Molecule: long non-coding RNA, 645 nt
Organism: Corythoichthys intestinalis (scribbled pipefish)
Lineage: Eukaryota; Metazoa; Chordata; Actinopteri; Syngnathiformes; Syngnathidae
Exons: 3
Source: RefSeq, a predicted model, not a curated record
CUGAGUAAAAAUACCAGCACUGUGAUCAUCAGAGCAAGUCCAUCAGGUGACAUUCUUUUUCACCUCUGUCUCCUUUCACUUUGAAGGUUCCCAUGUUUGAGGAAGCAUUUGGUGUUGCUGUGCAAAGUGUUGCUGCAGUGGAGGUUCAAGGUUACUGUUUAUUGAUAUGGAUCCCAUCAUACUUUGUUCAUUGUUUGUUCAGGAGUUUGCCCUAAGUCUCCGUGUUUGAGGGCCUAUUCUGUGGAUAUAUUUAUUUGCACUUUUAUUGAUGCAGUAAAUAAAUAGUCUAUGAAAAAAAUCACUAAAUCUGUCAUUUAUUCAUUUUAAUAUAUUCAUCAAUGAUCAUGUCUCACCUCUAUUCCGUAUUAAUCCCUGUCCUAAUUUCAGGAUCCCAUCAUACGUUGUACAUUGUUCAGGAGGUUAACUAGACCAUGCAGCCUUUUGAUAUCCGCUAAGUACUGUAUAGAAUAUUGGGACUGGAAGGAUGGUGUAUGUUUAAGUUUAUGUUUAAGUAUAUAUACACCAACAAGACAGUGUGAAAGCAUUGUCACAAGAAAGUUUGUUUUCAUUCAUAGGCUUAAUUGUCUUUCCAUCAAUACCUGGUGGGCCAGUCUCGGCUCAAAAUGCCCGGGCCGAUUUUUUGUC